Eriocheir sinensis (Chinese mitten crab) is the source of this 2842-nucleotide long non-coding RNA. RefSeq lists it as uncharacterized. Lineage: Eukaryota; Metazoa; Arthropoda; Malacostraca; Decapoda; Varunidae. The transcript has 3 exons. The record is from RefSeq and is a predicted model, not a curated record.
UCAUUUUUGCCUUCUAUUAAAAACUUUUUACUUUCUAACGAACCUUAAUCUUUUCUCAGCCUGCCUCCUCCUCCUCCUCCUCCUUCAACUUCCUUUACCUCCUUGUGUGAAUCUGUCCGUCCCGAGAUCCGGCGAGACCAUCCCGACGUCGUAACACCCGUUUGGGAGUGGGGGGACUCAUGAAGCUGGGGGCGGCAGCCCUAAGGUGGGGAGGGUUGCGCCGACACCUCCACUCCGUUUCGGCGGAAUGUGGCUGGCUAGGGUGGCCUGAACCACUGUCUGGGUUGUUUGUCGUUCAGUCGGAUUGAGGAUCUGCCUCCCUUGAGGUGCACAUGUCAUAGUGGUGGCAGAAGCGAGAGUGAGUGAAGCUGAUGUCAUCCCGACGUCGUAACACCGUUGGGCGGGGCGGGGCUCUCAUGUCAAGUCUCCCCGCGGUGCACAUGUCACAGAGGUGCAAACAGCAUGGCCUUCUUUCCUAUCUUUUCCCCCUCCUCCUCCCCCCCCCUCCCCCACACACCUCCUGCUGUUAUAUCGUCACCCUCAUAAAGUAAUUGCCUAAGUCAUUUUUCAGUGAUUUCCAUUUUUGUUAAGUUGUCUUAGAUAUUCAGGGUUUGAGUGUUCUAGAAUUGCCUUUUUAUUUCUGCCUAAAUCUUAAGCCAAAUGAGAUGAUGACGUUCUCUUCUUGAAAAAUAGAAAAUAACGACUUGGGCGGUUUCUUUACGAAGGUGGCGAGAUUGUAAUAGGUUUUGCACCCUCUAUUUAGGGAUGUGCACUAAUUUUUGUCUCUUCUCUUCCCCUCCUCCUCCCCUGGCUGGCCGGGGAACGGAGGAGGAGCACUAGGACGAGGAGGUGAAGGGAGGCGGAGGGAGAGACGACUCGAGCACAGGGAGGCAAGAGACAAGAAGCAGAGACGCAGGAACAGAAAGGCAGCCAGAUGGUCGAUGCUGUGAAGAGGAGGAAGAUGACUGCAGGAGGCGGUGUGUGUGUGUGUUGGGGAAGGAGACGACGGCACCACCCUCACACACAGCUGGUUAAGGCCUGCAAGAGAGCCUAGUCAAUGAAGAGGAAAAGAAGACAAGAAUAAAGAAUAAAGAAGACAAGAAGAAAGAAGAGAGGCAAAAGAGGAGGAGGGGAUUUUUUUUCUGUCUAUACCUGAAGUGUCAUGAAUUUACUAAGGGUGUAUUUAAGUCUGAUAUAACGCGGUGCAUUUAAAUAAGGUAUAUUUAACGGUACCAGUGUGUAGCCUACUUUUGCCUGGAGUUGGAGACGGUAAAAUGCUCUCCGACUCCUUUAUUGUGGUGCUGUGUGGUUUGUUUACUGUGGUGCGAUGUGGGUCAUUUACUGUGGUGCGGUGUGGCUCGUUAACUGAGGUGAGGUAUGGUUCGUUUAUUGUAGUGCGGUAUGGUUCGUUUACUGUGGUGCGGUGUGGCUCGUUAAUUAAGGUGAGGUGUGGUUCAUUUAUUGUGGUGCGGUGUGGUUCGUUAAUUAAGGUGAGGUAUGGUUCGUUUAUUGUAGUGCGGUAUGGUUCGUUUACUGUGGUGCGGUGUGGCUCGUUAAUUAAGGUGAGGUGUGGUUCAUUUAUUGUGGUGCGAUGUGGUGUUGCGGGCUUUAAUUUCCCUACCACUGCACCAGACAAGGGUAAGGGGGAGGGGGUGGAGUCAAAUUUUUUUAUAUCCGACUCCACACCUGUGUUAGAGUGUAAGAGUAUUGAUGGAAUAUAUUUAGGUGCUGGGUGAUACUGUGGCGCUCUCGUCGCAGCAACCCAUUCUGCUUCUGCAUAAUAACCCAUACUGCUGCAUGACGCAUAGCAACUCGUGUUUUUUUCUGCUGCCGCAACGACCCGUUCUGCUGGAUGACGCAUAGCAACUCGUGUUUUUUCCGCUGCCGCAACGACCUGUUCUGCUGCAUGACGCAUAGCAACCUGUGUUUUUUCUGCUGCCGCAACGACCCGUACUGCUAACGCAUAAUGACCUGUGCUGCUUCUGCUAUUGUAACAACUCUUACUGCAAUAACUUACUGCUGCUUCCAUUUAAAAACGUAUAAACGCAUAAACCCGCUGUGUUGCCAACUUGUCAACAACCCAACUAAUGAAUUUUCUGAUCAAAGAUCAAAGAGAGGAUUAGGCCUUCAGGGGACACCUCUUAAAUAAAAACGCGCCUGGGACUUUUACCUCAGAGGUGGUGUGGAAAAAAAGUCCAGUCACGAAAAUAAGUAUCUUAUACUCCAUGAAAGUGUCUCAGUCUUAUGAGAACACAAAGGUUGAGAGGGCUCAAACAUUCUGUUGUUUCCCGCAUAUGCUCCCAUGUUAGCAGUAAGGGUACUAAAUUCUGAUCUCUGUACAAAACAACCAAAUAAUAAGGAAAAGAAAGUUGAAUAAAAUGUUUACCUGCAUUCUACGUCAGCAGCGUAGACGUAACAAGGGUUGAAAAAAUGAGUUACUUAUUACAGCCGCUGGCCAACGUUUUGACCCCAGAGUCUUUGUGUUUGUCUCGGCGUCCUCUGCGCUACACUGCACAGAAUCUGGUUACUGUCCCUCAUGUGUUGUGUCAUUGAGGGAGUGUUUGGGUCAUUUUUAUGUUUUGAUGCCCCUUUCAUGGAUCUAAAUAAUGACAUCCACCUUAAAAUAAAUGUAUGUGUCUGUGGUCAUCCCAAAGCUGAAGGUUGGUAUCUACUCCACUGGUUUUCAUAUGUUUUCUCAGACAGUUCAAAUUAUCAGCAAAUGUUUUUACCCGUCUGCUGUGAUUGGCACGGAUUUCGCCUUCACUGGUAGCCUGGUAACAUGUACUCCCAGAUCAUUCUCGGCCUCUGUGGUGGAUAGUGGAGUGCUUCCCAUGUGGUAUUG